This 465-nucleotide ribosomal RNA is filed under the name uncultured bacterium. RNAcentral describes it as "partial 16S ribosomal RNA". It matches the Rfam family "Bacterial small subunit ribosomal RNA", at positions 29 to 507 of the family's 1533-position model. The record is from RNAcentral.
ACGAACGCUGGCGGCGCGCCUAACACAUGCCAGUCGAACGAGCGAGAGAGAGCUUGCUUUCUCGAGCGAGUGGCGAACGGGUGAGUAACGCGUGAGGAACCUGCCUCAAAGAGGGGGACAACAGUUGGAAACGACUGCUAAUACCGCAUAAGCCCACGGCUCGGCAUCGAGCAGGGGGAAAAGGAGCAAUCCGCUUUGAGAUGGCCUCGCGUCCGAUUAGCUAGUUGGUGGGGUAACGGCCCACCAAGGCGACGAUCGGUAGCCGGACUGAGAGGUUGAACGGCCACAUUGGGACUGAGACACGGCCCAGACUCCUACGGGAGGCAGCAGUGGGGAAUAUUGCACAAUGGGGGAAACCCUGAUGCAGCGACGCCGCGUGGAGGAAGAAGGUCUUCGGAUUGUAAACUCCUGUUGUUGGGGAAGAUAAUGACGGUACCCAACAAGGAAGUGACGGCUAACUACGUG